GACGAACGCUGGCGGCGUGCUUAACACAUGCAAGUCGAACGGAGUGGCGAACGGGUGAGUAACACGUGGGUGAUCUGCCUUGCACUUCGGGAUAAGCUUGGGAAACUGGGUCUAAUACCGGAUAGUGCAAGAUGAGCUCGCGGCCUAUCAGCUCGUUGGUGGGGUAAUGGCCUACCAAGGCGUCGACGGGUAGCCGGCCUGAGAGGGUGUACGGCCAAAGUGGGACUGAGGUACUGGCCAGAAUGCGACGGGAGGCAGCAGUGGGGAAUAGUGCACAAUGGGCGGAAGGCUGAUGGAGGGACGCCGGGUGGGGGAUGAAGGCCUUCGGGUUGUAAACUCCUUUCGACAGGGACGCGGUACCUGUAUAAGAAGCACCGGCUAACUACGUGCCAGCAGCCGCGGUAAUUC
This 408-nucleotide ribosomal RNA is filed under the name uncultured bacterium. RNAcentral describes it as "partial 16S ribosomal RNA". It matches the Rfam family "Bacterial small subunit ribosomal RNA", at positions 28 to 526 of the family's 1533-position model. The record is from RNAcentral.